RNAcentral lists this small RNA (467 nucleotides) under Pan troglodytes (chimpanzee). Its description in RNAcentral is "processed transcript". Lineage: Eukaryota; Metazoa; Chordata; Mammalia; Primates; Hominidae. The record is from RNAcentral.
AUCCAGCGUGGGAGCAGCUCAGUGAUUAGCCUGUGGAGCAGGAAAGUCCAGCGAUGGGCAGCUGGUCAUGGCAGUGGGUGAAAGCAGGGGUGGUCAUCUGACGAGGGGAGGGGAAGCAGGUGGUGCCCAGCAAGGUGGAAGGAGAAGUGGACAGGAGAAACCUCGGGGCAUUCCUGAGGGCCCAGGAACUGCAAUAAAUGAUCACAGGUGAGGGGUUCCUGCCCGCUGCCUGCCGGCUGAGCGUGACGAGCUGGGUGGCAGGCGCCUCCCAGGAGGAAGCUGUCUUGGCUUUGGGCGGUGGAUGCUAUGGGUGUGCUUGUGCCUGAGGGGGGCACUCAGGGGAGUUGCGGGCAGCCACCAGCUGAGACCGGCACUCACGGGGUGUGAAGGACUACAGAGAGAGCCAGGUUUUGGUGCCAUGCACACAGGGAAACUUAGAGUUCAGAGAGGGGGUGUGAUUUGCCUGA